Marasmius fiardii PR-910 is the source of this 98-nucleotide non-coding RNA. The record is from the annotation of a GenBank genome assembly. Lineage: Eukaryota; Fungi; Basidiomycota; Agaricomycetes; Agaricales; Marasmiaceae.
UCCGUUAUGGUGUAAUGGUUAACAUUAUCGCCUCUCAUUCUAAACGACAAAGGUCAGCGAGUGCGCGAUAGCUCAGGGUUCGAUUCCCUGUAACGGAA